GGGCCGCUCUCUGCCAGGCUUAGCUCGGGUCAAGGGCGCAGGGCCGGGAGAGGAUGUUGGCCGCGGCCCCCGACGCCAAGUGGGCACGGAUUGCCACUGGCGACAGGUAGAUUUCUCUCUCUGGGAAAUCUGCCAAACGCUUUUCUAAAGCUCCCAGCGUGUCCUCUGCCUGCAGCCCCUACCCUACGCCCCCCAGCUCAGGCGCCUCGCUCCAGGCAGGUCGCCUCUGGGCCUUUGCACAGAACGUCCGGUUGUCGCUGGCGUCGCCCACUGUGAACUGGCCCUAGAUUCUCCCAGACCCAGAAUAGUGCUCCUGCUUUACGCAUCGCACGCAGCCUCUGCAGUGCAACCCGAGCUGCCUGGGACCUAGGACCGACCCCUCCCUGCGAGGACCCCGGCUCGGCUGGCCUGCACAGGAGCCUGGCUCCGCGCUGGUUACACCAGUCACCGCCAGGCGGCGCGCGCCCCAGCUGACCUCGUUAGCGAUGUCUCUCCUUGUGAUCCCCACUCUGAGCCCCAGCCCAGCGCUGGGCAGUUUGUGCCGACAGCUGGGGGAAGACUUCCAUGUGCUAAUGAACUCCGUAGGUCGUCGGCAGCCAGAGAAACCCACCGCAAAUAACAGCGCAAGCCCGGUGCGUCUUAGGAGCAUUUGGCGAAGGGCCUUCCGGGGCCCCAUGCAGACAGGAGAUUCGCCAGCUGAUGAUGAGGCCCUGGAUGAAAGCUAGGAAUUCGAGCCCCUGCUGCUGGAGGGAGGCUGGCGGCUUCAAGAGGUGGGAUUGGCAUGUUGAUGCCUGACUCAGUGAUGGGUGAGAAGUGGCGAGUGUAAGAGUGAUUCUCCAAGUUCCGCUCAACCCCAGAGUCUGCAGCUGGGGAUCUUCCCCAGGGAUGCCGGGCCUUUGGGGGUGAGCAGCAGAGAAGGGGGUUGAUCUAGACAGGACGACUUUGAAGGCUCCGAGGGACAGCUGGGAAGGUCCACCCACAUCCCAGGUGGACACUCCAGCCUGGAGCCAGGAGCCAAGUCUUGGGAGGAGAACUGGAAUUGGCCAGAGGAUGGAGAGGCGCAGCUGUCCCCUCGCUGAGGGCAGAGAGCAGAGGGUGGGAGAGGAGAGGCCCUCAGGGGUCAGGUGGUG
RNAcentral lists this long non-coding RNA (1130 nucleotides) under Sus scrofa (pig). RNAcentral's name for it is "lncRNA (ENSSSCG00015010913.1)". Lineage: Eukaryota; Metazoa; Chordata; Mammalia; Artiodactyla; Suidae. The record is from RNAcentral.